UGAGGAAUAUUCCACAAUGGGCGCAAGCCUGAUGGAGCGACGCCGCGUGCGGGAAGAAGGCCUUCGGGUUGUAAACCGCUUUUGUGGGGGAUGAUACAAAAGGAGCCAAUACCUCCUUUCUAGGACAGUACCCCGCGAAUAAGCCUCGGCUAACUACGUGCCAGCAGCCGCGGUAAUACGUAGGAGGCGAGCGUUGUCCGGAUUUACUGGGCGUAAAGGGCGCGCAGGCGGCACGGCAAGUAAGGUGUGAAAUCUCCUUGCUCAACGAGGAGGGUGCACCAUAGACUGCCGAGCUAGAGGACGGUAGAGGGGGGUGGAAUUGCUGGUGUAGCGGUGAAAUGCGUAGAGAUCAGCAGGAACACCCGUGGCGAAGGCGGCCCCCUGGGCCGUACCUGACGCUGAGGCGCGAAGGCUAGGGGAGCGAACGG
Molecule: ribosomal RNA, 428 nt
Filed under: uncultured bacterium
Lineage: Bacteria
Description: bacterial SSU rRNA
Rfam family: Bacterial small subunit ribosomal RNA
Source: RNAcentral